RNAcentral lists this transfer RNA (75 nucleotides) under Bacteroidales bacterium. RNAcentral's name for it is "tRNA-Val". It matches the Rfam family "tRNA". Rfam says of the family: Transfer RNA (tRNA) molecules are approximately 80 nucleotides in length. Their secondary structure includes four short double-helical elements and three loops (D, anti-codon, and T loops). Further hydrogen bonds mediate the characteristic L-shaped molecular structure. tRNAs have two regions of fundamental functional importance: the anti-codon, which is responsible for specific mRNA codon recognition, and the 3' end, to which the tRNAs corresponding amino acid is attached (by aminoacyl-tRNA synthetases). tRNAs cope with the degeneracy of the genetic code in two manners: having more than one tRNA (with a specific anti-codon) for a particular amino acid; and 'wobble' base-pairing, i.e. permitting non-standard base-pairing at the 3rd anti-codon position. The record is from RNAcentral. Lineage: Bacteria; Pseudomonadati; Bacteroidota; Bacteroidia; Bacteroidales.
GGGCGGUUAGCUCAGCUGGUUCAGAGCACAUGCCUUACAAGCAUGGGGUCACUGGUUCGAAUCCAGUACCGCCCA